CGACCCAGGGCCCUUGUCCUUUGCACCCUCCCCUUGAUCUGUGUUCUCCAGUGACAUCCUUGAGGUGGAAACCUGUGUGAAGCAGAUGUCACUGCCUGGCAUUCUGAAGAUGGCACCUCGCCCCACCCCUGCAGCAGCUGGUGAGAUGACAGAUGGCCACCAGCUGGGGAGGAAUGGCAGAGGCAUGGCCGGUGCCCAGUGGGCAGGAAGAUCUUAGGGAGUGCUGUCCAUAAAAUGUGGAGCUCAAGAUAUGAGGUCAACCGCUACCUGAGAAGACCGGCCCACAACCACCACCUCAGUCUGCCUGGAGGAUGGAUGAAGCACUGCCUUGUGACUUGAACCCAGUGUGAUCUGCAAGCCACUUGUCUGCCUAGGCUGUUCCACCACCUGAAAGGUCCAACGCCUCUCCCUUGCAGGUGGACUGAGGGUUAAGGCUGGAUCCCUGCAGGUGCUAAGUGGCUGGGGGAGUGGGCAGUGGCAGCACACAAUGGCAGGAUGCUUCUGGGACCUCUGGCCUCCUCCUAAAGGAUUUGAGAAUGAUCACUCAAAAAGCAAGUACUUUUUCUGCUCCCCAAGCAUGCUACAGGCACACUGUGCAUGCUGGACAAGUGUGUGAGGAGUGGGCGGCUGAGGAGAUGAACCACCCCAGGAUAUGUGCCAGGAUCUGCCCAGGCCAACGGGCACAGGGCAGUGCUAACCUUGGGAGGAGUAGCCUGGCGGUAUUUGGCACAGAUCUACGAGCCAGCAGUUAGGAGUCAUCAUUUACGGGAAAUGCACCAUUGAGGAGAAAUGGCCCAGCCUGGCUCCCGUCCAGAUGUCCAGAAACGGCAAGGCAGCUGCUGGCGUCACUCAGUAAAUUCAGCUCAGCCCCUCCCCGUGUAAAGCUGGGCAGGGAUCCAGCCCAGUCCUGGCUAUGUACCCAUGCCCUUCCCUGUUUAGCAAAAACAAAAACAAAACAAGCCCCACUUACUUAACCUUCUUGGGUGUGAAGUUAAGUCUGCCUUUUGCCAGUUGGGAGAUCUUGAACAAGUUGUAAAAGUAUCUCUGCUCCUCAGUGCUUGCCUGUGAGACGAGGAACUUCUGGGGCUAUUGGAUGAAACAACGUUGUUGUUGGUGGUGACUUUCAUCUGUCUCUGUCUCUCUCUCCCUUUCUUUUGAGACAGAAUUGCUAAAUCACUAAGUUGCCCAUGCUGGCCUCAAACUUGCAAUCCCUCACCUCAGCUUGCCUCACAGGCACAGAAUGAGAUUGCUCAGAUUAUAUGUUUGCUAACUACAUUGCAUCAGUCUUUGUUGCCAGCCUGGGAGGUAGGCGAGAGACAUGCCACACUACUUAUUUGACAGACAAAGACACUGGGGCUUAGAGAGGUUUCUAAGCAGGCAGGCGGCACUAAGGAGAGUCCAGCAGAUCCAAGUGUCCUGCCACCUGCUCAUAGCUCUUCUGUCACAUAAGUCAGGAUGCCAAAAGUGACUGGGCCCAAGAGCCAGCCCAAAGGUCAUAUCUGGUCUCCAGACGUGCUUCAAAAUUUAAACAAACAGCAGCAGAAAAACGGAGUUCAUUUCCAGCGUUUAUAGGUCAGGUGUCACGGGUUUUGAACUCCACAUCUGUAUUUUCUCCGGAGGACUAGACGGUGAACCUGCCUCCCUGGUGGCCAGAGCUGGGCAGUGACUCUCCCCUGUUGGCAAGGCUGCAGAUGAGACUCACACACAUGAGCUCCCGGGUUGCUCAUUAGAUUCUCCAGUCCUGGAGAGCUUGCCACUGGUCCUGAAAGCCCACUGUAUUAGGUGGAAUACACCAGGGGCAAACUGGUGCCUGAGACAAGGUUGGGUAUUAAGCAGCUCCCAUGGGGAGGGAGGACGGGGCCCCCAGGAGCACGUCUGCCCAGGGACAUGAUAUCAAGCAAAGUCCCACCACAUUUGUGUCACGGAACUACUAUAAGGACGUUCCACAAACUGAGUGGCUUACAAAACAGAAAUUUACCAUCUCUCGGUGCCAAAGGCUGGAAGCAGGGGGUUGGCAGGCCCUGGCUCCCUCUGCACUUGCCCUCGGCCACUCUCUUAGCUGCUAUAGUCCCCAGGCUUGUGGCAGCAUAACAUCCGCAUUUGCUUGGCGUCACCCUCGGGGUGCUGUCUGUCACCUUUGUACCAGGAUACUUGCCCUACUCCAGUAUGGCUUCACUUUAACUGAUCCACAUCUAUGAUGACCCAGUGACUCUCCACCAGGGUCCCAUCUUAAGGGACUAGGGCUUAAGGUUUCAACAUAAACUUGGGGGCUGGGAGGGCACAAUUUAGCCCAAAUCAGGGGACUGUGGCUCUCUCCACAUGGGGCUCAAGACACACCUCGGAGUCUCUGCUGGAGGAGGAAGUUGGAGUGUUUAUACUCUGCACCAUUGGUCACUGGUUAAGGGCCAUGCCCAGCAGGAACAAGAAUUCCCAGGCGGUUGGAGUCGCUUCCAAUGUUGGUCUUCUGUAAAGUGGCUAGCGGAUGAAAGCUCACCGGGAUCUGUUGUGUAUGGAGAAGGUAAAGGCACCCAAGGCCGUGGGCACUGCUGCAGAGCCACCAUAGACCACUGAAGAUGGGCUCUGCCCUUCACCACCAACCUGCUUGGCUUGCAUUGACCGCGAUGACCCUAAUUGAGUCACUGGCCUCUCAGUGCUUUUUUCCCUCCCUAUUCCAGCUACCCAGAUUGGGAAUGGAGCUCCUGGAAAGAAGAUCAGUGAUACCCUCUGCUGUGGUUUGAAUGUGUACCCUCAAAAGUCCAUGCAUUGGACAUUUAAUCAUCUUUCAUGGUAAUUGCAGGCAAGGUCUUUGGAAGAUAAGUAGGACUAGAUGUGAUCCUAAGAAGUGGAAGAGAGACCCACAAGAGCAGGCUUGCACUGUCUCACUGUGUGAUGCUGUCUGCCCUAUUAUGACACAGCAGGAAAUCUGCAGACAGUUUUUCUCACAAGAUGCUAAAGCCUUGCUUUUGAACUUCCUAGCCUCUAGAAACAGGAGCCAAAUCUUAAGGAACUGGAGCUUAGGAUUUCAAAUAAAUUUCUGUUGUUUAUUUAGAAGGUUAGGAGCCAAAUAAACUUCUGUUGUUUAUAAACUA
Long non-coding RNA from Cavia porcellus (domestic guinea pig), 3089 nucleotides. RefSeq lists it as uncharacterized. The transcript has 5 exons. The record is from RefSeq and is a predicted model, not a curated record. NCBI's taxonomy places the organism in Eukaryota, Metazoa, Chordata, Mammalia, Rodentia, Caviidae.